Long non-coding RNA from Helianthus annuus (common sunflower), 341 nucleotides. RefSeq lists it as uncharacterized. The record is from RefSeq and is a predicted model, not a curated record. The transcript has 2 exons. NCBI's taxonomy places the organism in Eukaryota, Viridiplantae, Streptophyta, Magnoliopsida, Asterales, Asteraceae.
UUUGACUCUUGACAAGCUAGAUGGAGGCUUGGAAUGAAGCGGGUCAAACGGAGCAAGUACGAAAAGGAAAGCGUAAUUUGGAUGCGAGUCUUAGGUACUCAAGGAUUAUGGGUGACGAUCAAGCAACUUUUGAAGGACCGAACACAUACUCUUGAAGCUUCCGCAUAAAUCAACUCGGUUUAAACAAUGUUUAUGAUGUAAACUGUUUUCUAAACAACUUUUGAAAUGUUUAAACGACGUACUCAAUUAUGUUAUGUUGUAUUAUUUUAAAAUUGUAAAGUUUAAACAAACCCGUAUUUUUACAAAGUAUAUGUAGUCAUAAUUACAUGUUGUUUGUCGUA